This 312-nucleotide ribosomal RNA is filed under the name uncultured bacterium. RNAcentral's name for it is "bacterial SSU rRNA". It matches the Rfam family "Bacterial small subunit ribosomal RNA", at positions 200 to 507 of the family's 1533-position model. The record is from RNAcentral.
GGCAAGGCCUUGCGUCGAUGGAGCGGCCGAUGCCGGAUUAGCUAGUUGGUGAGGUAAAGGCUCACCAAGGCGACGAUCCCGUAGCUGGUCUGAGAGGACGACCAGCCACACUGGGACUGAGACACGGCCCAGACUCCUACGGGAGGCAGCAGUGGGGAAUCUUGGACAAUGGGCGAAAGCCUGAUCCAGCAAUGCCGCGUGUGGGAAGAAGGCCCUCGGGUUGUAAACCACUUUUGGCGGGAAAGAAAUGGUCUGUGCUAAUACCACGGAUUGAUGACGGUACCCGCAGAAUAAGCACCGGCUAACUACGUG